AUAUUUCUCUACCUCAUGCAGAAUCUUAGAGCUCUGGCUUUGUGGCUCCAUGGCUGGGGGAGGGAGUGGAGACGGAGGAACUUGUCACUGCUCCAUGCCCCAUUGUUGAAAUGGAAAAUGUGGAAAUGUUAAGCCGUUUCUAGAGGAUUGUGGAAGGGGGAGUUAACUGUGAAGGCACUUAACAAUCUCCUUAUUGAGGAACGCGGGACUUUGUUUCCAAUGGAGGAAUUUCUGGCAUCAGAGAGCAGAUAGGGCAGAGGUGCUUUCUUCUGCGGCUCCUCAAGGCUCACAGCUUGCUAUGGAAGCAUCCUUGGAGGACAUCUCCUUCCCUGCCCUUUCCAUCAACGUUGGUUAAUCCAAUCUCCACCUUCUCUUAAAAGAUUGACAUGACGAGUGAGGAAGCCAAGGACAUUGCAUCCGCAUCUUAAACUUAAUCUCAGUACAUGAAAGGGGCUGCUUUGGAAAUAGAGCUUCAUGAAACAGGGAAAUCCCGUGGCCAGGAAACCCCUCGCUCCUCCCCACCCCACCCUGUGAGGAGUGUCUCCACUAGGAAGGAAAUUAAAUCAGUCUUCCAGCCACCAGAAUUGAAUUGGGAUGGACUAUUUCCUCUUUGGAUUAUGUUCCAAAUUGCAUUCCUGUUGCUCUGUUUGAAGUUAGAGUCAGAAAUCAUUCGUAUUUCCCCUCUCUGAAGGAAAGCCUGCUGCAAUGCUUAUCUCAUCGAGUUAAUUGACCUACAAAGGGCUCAUUCCUUCCUAAAAACACUCUGCAUGGCUCUGAUGGACUCAGGGUGACAAGAAGUGGAUUCUAAAGUGCUGAGGGCUCAGUGGGCCAGCCCAGGCCUGGAGUCUGAAUGAAGAGGCAUCAGUGUGCCGGAACUUCAUGACUGGGUUCAGUGCCAGACCUGCAGACGUUGAAAGUGAAUGUCAUCAUGAAGCCCACAUGGCUGGAUGGGUCAGGUUCUCCUCAGUUGUCACCUGUCCAGGGGCAGUCCAGUGAGAAAAGCUAGAAUGUGGAGUCCUGUCAUCAGAUGAUGUGACUACAUGGAAUGAGGACUAUAGCUGCUCUCUUAAAAACCUGCAGCCCCCUCUCUCAGCCCAGACAGUUGAGGUAUUUAUGCACCAUCAUAACAUUAACAGCAUCUUUGCUUUGGAAAGUGGGGGUUUAUGAUUUCUAGGGUAAAUCCUCGCCUUUGGGAGUGUGAAUGAGACAAGCGUAUCAGCAACUGCCAAGACCAAUCAAUAGAUGUGCAUGGAACAUUCUCUUCAUCCCCAAAUCAGAAUGAACACAGUCCUUUAAAGUCUGCACUGCAGGUGAAAUUCACAUGACUCACAAUUCCCUUUAGCCAAUGUUACCGAAGUCAGUGUCAAGAAAACUUAACAGAAAAAAAAAAAA
This 1392-nucleotide long non-coding RNA is filed under the name Homo sapiens (human). RNAcentral's name for it is "HSALNT0316109". Lineage: Eukaryota; Metazoa; Chordata; Mammalia; Primates; Hominidae. The record is from RNAcentral.